Molecule: ribosomal RNA, 519 nt
Filed under: uncultured eukaryote
Lineage: Eukaryota
Description: SSU rRNA
Rfam family: Eukaryotic small subunit ribosomal RNA
Source: RNAcentral
AGGGCACCACCAGGAGUGGAGCCUGCGGCUUAAUUUGACUCAACACGGGAAAACUCACCCGGCCCGGACACUGGAAGGAUUGACAGAUUGAGAGCUCUUUCUUGACUCAGUGGGUGGUGGUGCAUGGCCGUUCUUAGUUGGUGGAGUGAUUUGUCUGGUUAAUUCCGAUAACGAACGAGACUCUAGCCUACUAAAUAGAUCGUCGGCUUACAAACGCCGGCGAGACUUCUUAGAGGGACAGGCGGUGAUUCAACCGCACGAAACAGAGCAAUAACAGGUCUGUGAUGCCCUUAGAUGUCCGGGGCCGCACGCGCGCUACACUGAAGUGAUCAGCGUGCUUUUUCAACCUACUCUGUCAAGAGUGGGGAACCCAAUGAACCUUCUUCGUGAUUGGGAUAGGGGAUUGUAAUUAUUCCCCUUGAACGAGGAAUUCCCAGUAAGCGCGAGUCAUAAGCUCGCGUUGAUUACGUCCCUGCCCUUUGUACACACCGCCCGUCGCUACUACCGAUUGAAUGUUUU